AACACCUGCAUGAGUUCGAAAUUUGCAUCAGCACUUCAACCGAAGGGCAACAAGAAGCAUCGAACUGGCAGUAAGUACUGAAUGAAGCAAAAACUGCAUUCUGACUACGAUCUCAGCGAGAAAAGGCUACCAGUGACGAUGGAGAGUGGUUUAGUUUCACUGCAGUUCAACGACGAAUACCUUCAUCAGUGAAAAAGGCCUUGUCCCAGGCUAGAGACUUCCGCAGUGUUGUUGAGCGUCUGCUCCUACUUUUACGAAGAACAGUAGGGUUUCUGACAGGUGAAGUUUCGCAAAUCCCGUCGAGUUGCAUGGACUCUGCAGAACACCCCCCACUUAUCAACAAUAGUGCAGCAAGGCAUUUGGCAUCACUCUUCAACAGGGCUCAGCUACGUAUUGGGGUGUGAAGCUAAGUAACAUAGCCCCAGCUGGCUAUCGAUGCGGUAGCAGAAUGAGAGUUCAGUCUCAACGUAGGGGCCAGUAACUUCGAGAGAGAAGUCCUACGCACUAUUGCCCAAGUUCUACUUACGAAAGGAUCACACAGAGGUUGUGAACAGCAAAGGAGAAAAAUCGGUAGAACUACCAGAGCACUUCAAUAUAGCCUCAUAUUCUGGUUUCUAAACAAAGCACUUGCUAUACCACGUUCUAAGCUCAAGAUUAAAGGCGGCCCCUAUCCAAAUUCCGGACAGCGCACCUUUAAUUCCAA
Non-coding RNA from Physcomitrium patens, 703 nucleotides. Lineage: Eukaryota; Viridiplantae; Streptophyta; Bryopsida; Funariales; Funariaceae. The record is from RefSeq and is a predicted model, not a curated record.